This 71-nucleotide transfer RNA is filed under the name Hapalocarcinus marsupialis. RNAcentral's name for it is "tRNA-Ser". It matches the Rfam family "tRNA". Rfam says of the family: Transfer RNA (tRNA) molecules are approximately 80 nucleotides in length. Lineage: Eukaryota; Metazoa; Arthropoda; Malacostraca; Decapoda; Cryptochiridae. The record is from RNAcentral.
UGAUUAUUUAGUUUAAGUAAAACAAAUGUUUUGAAAACAUUCAAUAAGAUAUUUAUUUCUUAAUAAUCGUC